CCUUCAAUAGCUCAGUUGGUAAAGGGGAGGACUGUAAGUUUAUAACUGCAGGCAUCCUUAGAUCGCUGGUUCCAUUCUGGCUCGAAGGA
This 89-nucleotide transfer RNA is filed under the name Perca flavescens (yellow perch). It matches the Rfam family "tRNA". From Rfam's summary of the family: Transfer RNA (tRNA) molecules are approximately 80 nucleotides in length. Their secondary structure includes four short double-helical elements and three loops (D, anti-codon, and T loops). Lineage: Eukaryota; Metazoa; Chordata; Actinopteri; Perciformes; Percidae. The record is from Rfam by way of RNAcentral.